AUGCUCUUCUGAUUGAAUUUUUAUUUUAAAUUCAUUUUAAACUUUAAUAUUAAGUUGCAUGGUUCGCAUUAUUGCUGAAAUUAAAGAAAACAAUGAUAGUGAAAACUACUGACUGAGAAGAAUUUCCUAAUUGGGCUCAUAAGUUUGUUAACUGUUUUAAUUUAUGUAUUAUGCAUCCAAACUGAUGCAUAAAAAAGAUUAUCAGAAGCACCUGGAAAAAAUGCAUUUGUCUGCCAAAUAGUUUGGUCUUUAUGGUAGACAAAAUUAUUGGAGUAUAACUAUUUUGAAAUUAGUAAGGAAUUAACUGACCUUAAAUUAAAUGAACCUUGAAACAAAAA
Molecule: long non-coding RNA, 338 nt
Organism: Xenia sp. Carnegie-2017
Lineage: Eukaryota; Metazoa; Cnidaria; Anthozoa; Malacalcyonacea; Xeniidae
Exons: 2
Source: RefSeq, a predicted model, not a curated record